Molecule: long non-coding RNA, 2152 nt
Organism: Arvicanthis niloticus (Nile rat)
Lineage: Eukaryota; Metazoa; Chordata; Mammalia; Rodentia; Muridae
Source: RefSeq, a predicted model, not a curated record
GCUGAGGCAGGAGGAUCACGACUGGGUUAUAUAAUAUGACCUGUCUCCAAAACAACAACAAAAACAAGCAGGUACCAGGGAAAAGGAAGAAUUGGAAGUCUUUGGAGGAGAGCAUAUAGCAAAUUCAAAGGCCCUAUCAGGAGACAAACCAUGAAACCAGUUCCAGAAGCAGCGGUGGAGAUAGCCGCAGCUGAGUCUGAGAAGAGCCAUAGCAACAGUGCAACAGUGGCGACCAGUAUCAACAUUCUGGAUAUGUUGCUCAUCAGAGCAGAAUUUUAUAUACAUUGUGGCUGCUUGGAUGAUAUAUUUCAAGUUGGACAUAGACUGCCCACUAAGUCACUCCAAGGGACGCCUGGAUUGAUGGCUGGAGCUGUGCAGUGCCACCAUAGCAGAAGGGGACAUACCAGCCUGGAGCAGGCACCAAGGGAAGCUGAGACCUGUGGAGGAGGAUUUCCCUUGCUCUUGCCUGCUUAGGAGAAGCAGAAGCUGGGGCUGUGGGGUGUUGGACUUGUUUCUCCUUCUCAUGCCUGGAAGCUUCCUUAUGGAGCCCAGCAUCCUCCUCCCAGAGGCCUUAGACCUGAUGUUAUCAAAUGUCCAUCCCCAAAACUCCCUUCCUCCCAUCUCUAGGAACAGUCGCUGGCCUACAGCCCAACCAAUGAGCUUAAAUCGAUCUCUGUGAUGAGCCCCAAUUACUGGUCUCGGGACCCUGCCUCAGCAUGGUAGGACUGGUUAUUUCUCAUUAUAUAGGAACUUGGCAGGGAAGAUGGGGGGUAACCUUCUCCAGAGAAUUCACCUUCAGCAGGCCCUGAGUUUUCUUUUCAAAGCUUUGUGUCAGAAACUAUCUACAUUGCUUUCAUUUCUUCCCCUCCCACCUGCUCAACAGCCCACUCCAACCCAGCUCCCUGCUGUGUCACUGACUCUAGCCAGUUCCCUCCUGAGUUCCAGUCCUGUGUCCAACCGCCUACCUUCUCCCAAUGUCUUUCCCUUAAGUAUCUUAAAGUUAACAUGCCCAAGGCCAAAUGCACAACUGUCUUUCCCGAAGCAGUUCUUCUUGUGCUAAGCCAGUAGCACGGUGGUCAUCUCUCCAGGUGGGCAAGAGAGAGGCUCAAGGGCUAGGUCUCCUUUCCUCAGCCCAGCCACAGGAAGGAGCAGAGAGAUCUGCAUGCACACAGACCACCUUUCGCCUCAGUGGUGGGCCCCACAAAGUAUCCUUCCUGUGGACUGCUUCCUUGUUAGUCUCUCUGCAGCUACCCUCACUCUUUAGUGCCCCCACUUAUUUCUCAGCCAUCCAAAGAAACCCUGUGAAUGCCAAAAUGUCUUCAUGCAGGGCCUCUGCUCAAACCCCCCUUGGCUUCUCACUAACGACCCAAACCCUCAGUGGAGUUGCUCUUGCCUCACACACUGUGUAUGUAUCUUCGGGGAUUAAGGGGUUAAUAGUCUUAGCGAAGCAGGUGGCCUUAAGUGAGCUAAAUGAGGGAUAUGGAGACACUGGAGAUUGGCUUCAGAACAUCCUAACAUGGCGCCCAUGAAGUAGAGAGUGUAGGCAUGAGGAAGCCCAGAGAAAAGGGAGUCCUGAGGCAGAAGUCAGCAGUGACUGCCACAGGUCUUCCCUCAGGCCACCUAAUUCCCUUUUAAUUGGUACCUAAUGAAAGAAAAUUAAACCCAAUUGAGUUUUAAUGUGUGCAUUCAAACACCAGUCCCAAUUUGAUUUCUUUCUUUUAGGUUAUGGGGGUUCUAAGAGAAAGAAGAUAGGACAAGGGUGGGCUGGGAGAAAGAGUACCCUUUCCUGCGCCCAAGGAAAUCAUACACCAGCCUUUCCCUCAGAUGUCUUCAGGACUUUUUCCUACUUUCUCACACCACCUCUGUCCCUACCAUGAUCCCCAAGACACCAUAUGCCAUGAGAAACUUGGGACCUCCUUUACACUGGCACUGUGUUAGGGACGUAACCUAUACCACCUCCAGGGACCCUCCCUGGUCCCAGUGGGACCCGUCACAGUAAGGUUCCUCCUUCUCAAAGGAUACUGUGUAGACUUGCCAAAAGAUGCUGCCUCUGUUCUACCUAAGCCAGGCUGGGCCACACAAGCACCAGCCAUGGACACUGAGAUGUAUAACAUGGCACUGAGCUGUGCAAUGCAUGCACAUGAGAAUUCAA